This 420-nucleotide ribosomal RNA is filed under the name uncultured Actinomycetes bacterium. Its description in RNAcentral is "bacterial SSU rRNA". It matches the Rfam family "Bacterial small subunit ribosomal RNA", at positions 986 to 1407 of the family's 1533-position model. The record is from RNAcentral. Lineage: Bacteria; Bacillati; Actinomycetota; Actinomycetes.
AUAUAGAGGAAACGUGCAGAAAUGUACGCCCCGCAAGGUCUCUAUACAGGUGGUGCAUGGUUGUCGUCAGCUCGUGUCGUCAGAUGUUGGGUUAAGUCCCGCAACGAGCGCAACCCUCAUCCUAUGUUGCCAGCACGUAAUGGUGGGAACUCAUGGGAGACUGCCGGGGUCAACUCGGAGGAAGGUGGGGAUGACGUCAAAUCAUCAUGCCCCUUAUGUCUUGGGCUUCACGCAUGCUACAAUGGCCAGUACGAAGGGCUGCAAUACCGUAAGGUGGAGCGAAUCCCAAAAAGCUGGUCUCAGUUCGGAUUGAGGUCUGCAACUCGACCUCAUGAAGUCGGAGUCGCUAGUAAUCGCAGAUCAGCAACGCUGCGGUGAAUACGUUCCCGGGCAUUGUACACACCGCCCGUCAAGUCACGA